GCAGGGCGUGGUGCCACAUGCCUGUAAUCCCAGCAACUGGGGAGGCAGAGGCAGGAGGGUCACAAGCUUGAGGCCAGCCUCAGAAACUUAGUGGGACCCUGUCUCAA
Molecule: small RNA, 107 nt
Filed under: Marmota monax (woodchuck)
Lineage: Eukaryota; Metazoa; Chordata; Mammalia; Rodentia; Sciuridae
Source: RNAcentral